CUACGGGGGGCUGCAGUGAGGAAUAUUGCACAAUGGGGGGAACCCUGAUGCAGCAACGCCGCGUGGAGGAUGACGCAUUUCGGUGUGUAAACUCCUUUUAUAUGUCAAGAAAAUGACGGUAGCAUAUGAAUAAGCACCGGCUAACUCCGUGCCAGCAGCCGCGGUAAUACGGAGGGUGCAAGCGUUACUCGGAGUCACUGGGCGUAAAGGACGCGUAGGCGGGUUGGAAAGUCAGGUGUGAAAUCCUACAGCUUAACUGUAGAACUGCACUUGAAACUUCUAAUCUAGAGUAUGGGAGGGGGAGAUGAAAUUAGUGGUGUAGGGGUAAAAUCCGUAGAUAUCACUAGGAAUACCUAAAGCGAAGGCGAUCUCCUGGAACAUUACUGACGCUAAGGCGUGAAAGCGUGGGGAGCAAACAGGAUUAGAUACCCGGGUAGUC
This 439-nucleotide ribosomal RNA is filed under the name uncultured bacterium. Its description in RNAcentral is "partial 16S ribosomal RNA". It matches the Rfam family "Bacterial small subunit ribosomal RNA", at positions 339 to 795 of the family's 1533-position model. The record is from RNAcentral.